Molecule: non-coding RNA, 72 nt
Organism: Phrynosoma platyrhinos (Desert horned lizard)
Lineage: Eukaryota; Metazoa; Chordata; Lepidosauria; Squamata; Phrynosomatidae
Source: the annotation of a GenBank genome assembly
GGCUGCGUGGUAUAGUGGUUUAACAUUGGACUAGGACAUUGGGAGACCAGGAUUUGAAUCCCAGCGCAGACA